RNAcentral lists this long non-coding RNA (201 nucleotides) under Spirodela polyrhiza (greater duckweed). RNAcentral describes it as "long non-coding RNA (SPOL_LNC002125)". The record is from RNAcentral. Lineage: Eukaryota; Viridiplantae; Streptophyta; Magnoliopsida; Alismatales; Araceae.
GAAAAUGUGAGUUUAUUUAGGGUUAGCUCCGCGGGAGAAGAUCACUUUUGAAAAAAAGACGUGUGGUCACUGGAGGAUGAGAUCACGCCAAAACCUCGCAAUUGAGGAUCACAUAUAUUUCAGUUUGUCUCCACUUUCAGACCUAGCAUGUAAUCUCAUAGUCUUGACUUGCUUUCGGUCAUUCAGGGCCUCAUUCAUCAC